CACAUCAGAUUUACUACAAUUCUCUGUUGAGUUAACAAUAAUGAUCAUUUAAUAAUUAGUGUUUUAGAUGUCGAUUCAUGGCAAUGUGGAUAUUAUGAUUUACCCUCUUUGUGACUCUGGUUUCAAUUUUCUAAUAUUAUUUAUCAGAACAUGAUGUUUCAGAUUCGAGAAAAUGAUAAGAGGAAGAAUUCAAUGGAAGAGUUUGUGAUGGACAUGUGCUCAUCUAGGUUGAAUGUUGUCUCCUUUCUGCUCUUGUCAUCUCCUUGAUGACCACUCGUCUUCAUAUGCAAGUGGAGCCGUGGCCAGAUGGUUUAUCCAGCAAUGGAGGGAUUGUACCCUACAAAAUUUGUCUCUUGGGGUUCGCCAACGGGAUCCCUGUGUCCAGCCUGAGCCAGAGUUCAGCCACCGAUGUCGGAGGUUGUGCGAU
This is a long non-coding RNA of Lolium rigidum, 427 nucleotides long. RefSeq lists it as uncharacterized. NCBI's taxonomy places the organism in Eukaryota, Viridiplantae, Streptophyta, Magnoliopsida, Poales, Poaceae. The transcript has 3 exons. The record is from RefSeq and is a predicted model, not a curated record.